GCUUCGGCGGGAUUGCCCCGGGCGCCUCGCGUGCCCCGGAUCAGGCGCCCGCCUAGGAAACUUAACUCUUGUUUUAUUUGGAAUCUUCUGAGUAGUUUUUACAAAUAAAUAAAAACUUUCAACAACGGAUCUCUUGGUUCUGGCAUCGAUGAAGAACGCAGCGAAAUGCGAUAAGUAAUGUGAAUUGCAGAAUUCAGUGAAUCAUCGAAUCUUUGAACGCACAUUGCGCCCGCCAGUAUUCUGGCGGGCAUGCCUGUCUGAGCGUCAUUUCAACCCUCAUGCCCCUAGGGCGUGGUGUUGGGGAUCGGCCAAAGCCCGCGAGGGACGGCCGGCCCCUAAAUCUAGUGGCGGACCCGUCGUGGCCUCCUCUGCGAAGUAGUGAUAUUCCGCAUCGGAGAGCGACGAGCCCCUGCCGUUAAACCCCCAACUUUCCAAGGUUGACCUCAGAUCAGGUAGGAAUACCCGCUGAACUUAAGCAUAUCAAUAA
Molecule: ribosomal RNA, 487 nt
Filed under: Lactifluus sp. G1067
Lineage: Eukaryota; Fungi; Basidiomycota; Agaricomycetes; Russulales; Russulaceae
Description: eukaryotic LSU rRNA
Rfam family: 5.8S ribosomal RNA (bases 114-267)
Source: RNAcentral